AAGCUGGGGCAUUCGCCUUUGGUGUUCUGUGCCGCUGUAUAAAGAGUCUGACCAUCCUAAGACCACCAUGUUGUGAGGAGCCCAAGCCACAUGGAGAGGUCACAUAGAUGUUCCAGUGACAGCCCCAAAUGAGGGUCUGCUGACAACCAGCAUCAGCCACCACACACACAGAUGAUAACAUCUCCAGGACUCUAGUUCCCAGAUGCCUGCAUAUCCCCAGGCUCUGAAUCCUCCAGCGGAGGCCCAGACAUUGUGGAGUACAUGCAACCCAUGCCAGCCCUGUCAUGUCCUGUCUGAAUUCCUCACCCACAGUAGUCAGAGCAUAUAAAAUGGUUGUUCUAUGCCACUACAUUUUGGAGUUGUUGGUUUCCCAGCAGCACAAAAUGGAACAGAGGCUUAAGUUUACUCUUACCCUAGAAUUCCAGGAGAUCCUACUGUAUUCUCUUUUAGUCUUCUGUAGAUUUUGAGGAUUUCUACUAGGUUGUGAGGAUUUCUAUCACUUGCUGUCAAACCACUGAAAUUCAUAUUAAAUUGGUAUUCAAAAUGGGGUUGCAGAGAAAAAGUGUCAGAGUGGAUUGGGACCAGCAAGAAGUUAUUGUCCUGGGAUAGAGAGCUGCAAUGCACGUUUAACGAUAGCAGUAUGUCUUGUUCCUUGGGAAUCAGAUGUCUUACUUCAUCAGAUAGCUAGACUUUAGAGGAAUUCAUCAUUUUAAAUGUCAGAAUAUCAGAUUGAGUUAUCGAUUCCUUAUGGCCUUCAGUAAAGGUCAGAGAAGUGGCAAGCCUCAGCCGACGCUGCUCCAUGGAAGUCACCAGAAGAGAAUAGAGGACAGCCCACUGACGCAGAGAAUCAGAGCACAGCAUCCACUAUUAGUUUGGACAAACUGUGGUGGCCACCAGGGGUGUAUGUGUGUGAGAGAGAGAGAGAUUAUGAACUGAUUGAAAAACUGAAGAUUACCAGCAACUGGAAUGAGGAUAUAUAGGAAGGAGGAGCCAGAAAUGUGAGCAAGCCCUUCAGAAUGUACCUUCUCCACCACCAAGUGAAAAUGAAGAUUCCUCCCCUUGUAAUACUCGGUUGGCUGUGAUGCAACAUUUUGGCAAGACUCCAAAGCAGAUUUGCGAAGAAAUGCACCCUGAAACCCAUGCCAAUACUCCAAUCUAUAAUAUCCUGCUCAUGCUCUGAGGUCAUUAAGGAAAAAAAUCAUGAAAAUAGGUGGAGCCCCAGAAUUUCCUCUAAAAAUCAGAAGACUCACAGAGAGAAUCUCCGAGAUGCUCUGGAAGAACAAUGGCCAAGCAAAAUUCUCCCGGAGGACAGAGUCUGUGGCAGUCUUUCUGGGUGACCAGGAACUUUUCAAAUGUAGAGGAGCCUUUAGAAGGAAGCCUUGAGCAUGAGGACAGACCCCCCUCAUCCAACCACCACCUGACUCUGUGUGAACCUGGAACUGUUAGAAUGUCUGUGCUGUGAUAAAAGGUCAUCUCCCUACAAUGUUAUGAUACAGACCUCAAACCUACAAACAUGAGGAACUUCUGCCUCCAGGUUAACUGCUUACCCACUGUACAAGACACGUUACACACAGUCCAGGAGGCGGAGCUUCUGAGAUAUCUAGAAACAGCUUAGAGGCAAAAUGACAAAAUAAAGCAGCAACAACAAAUAAAACCAAUCUUCUCGAACUG
This is a long non-coding RNA of Homo sapiens (human), 1671 nucleotides long. Ensembl annotates it as long intergenic non-protein coding RNA 1255. The record is from Ensembl. NCBI's taxonomy places the organism in Eukaryota, Metazoa, Chordata, Mammalia, Primates, Hominidae.